RNAcentral lists this transfer RNA (63 nucleotides) under Amynthas corticis. Its description in RNAcentral is "tRNA-Leu1". RNAcentral also lists the same sequence under 1 other name. The record is from RNAcentral. Lineage: Eukaryota; Metazoa; Annelida; Clitellata; Crassiclitellata; Megascolecidae.
AGUGUGUUGGCAGAAUAGUGCAACUGACUUAGGAUCAGUUCAAGGAGUACAUACCACACACCA